GGAGAUGUAGCUCAGUUGGUAGAGUGCCUGCCUCACUUGCACAAGGCCCUGGGUUCAAUCCCCAGCACCACCA
Ictidomys tridecemlineatus (thirteen-lined ground squirrel) is the source of this 73-nucleotide non-coding RNA. Lineage: Eukaryota; Metazoa; Chordata; Mammalia; Rodentia; Sciuridae. The record is from Rfam.